CCUUCGAAACCACCCCAGCCUGCGAAUUCCCAUUGGUUGCAGGGUCCUCUGUGUGUUCUUGCCCCUCCUGCUUAAUUUAACCCAGUCCCUCCUGCCUCCCUCCGACAACCUUUUUCCCAUCCGUAGCCUUAAAUUCCCGAGCUGCCCGGGCGGAUCGUAGUGUUGAUUGGAGGGAUGAGAAUACCCGCCGGGUCCGAUUGGCCACUGUCUCCGCCUGCGUUCUCGGAGUAGCUUCCCUGCGGGUGGGCUGGAGUUCGGCGGCCGGCGUAGGGCGCGGCCCGGCAGGGCGGUGGGAGCCUCCCCGGGGCUGCUCGUGUUGCAGCUUGGGAUGAUACUGGCGGAACGCAGGACCCCAACUCCCAAACCUGCGGACCUUGACUACGGACGAGCCCUGUCCCGGCUCCCCACGUGCCCCAGGGGGACCAGAGCAGGCAGGACGCCUUCCAAGUAUUCAAGGGCCGCUGGUUGCCUACGCUUCGUCCCCUUGUUUCUUGAACAACCGUUAGGGACCAGGGGUACCCCUCAGGAGGCCACAGUCCGGGGCUGGGGCGCUCAUUGAUGCAGUGAUCACACUGAGCCGAGAUCAGAACAGGUAAUUCCGUAAAUGAGAGAGAGAAGCAAAGCGUUACAGGCAGAAGAGUCUAUUUGAAAUCUCUGAGAAAGGAGGAAGCAUGAUGGGAAUGGGGAACUGGAAUUCUCUAAUGCUCCGAUGACUGUCUAAGUGGGGGAUCACCCGGCAUUGACAGACUGGGAAGCUUAAGUGAGUCACUCGCCUGAGGUCACAUGGUUAGUUUGAUGCAGAGAAGACUCGAAAACCAGUUAAAGAACAGUCAGUGGGGCCCGGCCUUGUAGCUCACACCUUUAAUACCACCACUUUGGGAGGCCGCGGCGGACGGAUCGCUUGAGCCCAGGAGUUCAAGACCAGUCUGGGCAACAUGGAGAAACCCCAUCUCUACAAAAAAUACAAAAAUUGGCCGGGCUCACGCCUGUAAUCCCAAAACUUUGGGAGGCCAAGGCGGGCAGAUCACGAGAUCAAGAGAUCGAGACCAUCCUGGCCAACAUGGUGAAACCCCGUCUCUACUAAAAAUACGAAAAUUAGCUGGGCGUGGUGGCGCGUGCCUGUAGUCCCAGCUACUCAGGAGGCUGAGGCAGGAGAAUGGGUUGAACCCGGGAGGCGGAGGUUGCAGUGAGCCGAGAUCGCGCCACUGUACUCCAGCCUGGCGACAGAGCGAGACUCCGUCUCAUAAAUAAAUAAAUAAAUAAAUAUUA
Molecule: long non-coding RNA, 1269 nt
Organism: Pan troglodytes (chimpanzee)
Lineage: Eukaryota; Metazoa; Chordata; Mammalia; Primates; Hominidae
Exons: 3
Source: RefSeq, a predicted model, not a curated record